RNAcentral lists this ribosomal RNA (584 nucleotides) under uncultured bacterium. Its description in RNAcentral is "partial 16S ribosomal RNA". It matches the Rfam family "Bacterial small subunit ribosomal RNA", at positions 355 to 932 of the family's 1533-position model. The record is from RNAcentral.
UGGGGAAUAUUGCACAAUGGGCGCAAGCCUGAUGCAGCCAUGCCGCGUGUGUGAAGAAGGCCUUCGGGUUGUAAAGCACUUUCAGCGAGGAGGAAGGUGGUGAGCUUAAUACGCUCAUCAAUUGACGUUACUCGCAGAAGAAGCACCGGCUAACUCCGUGCCAGCAGCCGCGGUAAUACGGAGGGUGCAAGCGUUAAUCGGAAUUACUGGGCGUAAAGCGCACGCAGGCGGUUUGUUAAGUCAGAUGUGAAAUCCCCGGGCUCAACCUGGGAACUGCAUUUGAAACUGGCAAGCUAGAGUCUCGUAGAGGGGGGUAGAAUUCCAGGUGUAGCGGUGAAAUGCGUAGAGAUCUGGAGGAAUACCGGUGGCGAAGGCGGCCCCCCUGGACGAAGACUGACGCUCAGGUGCGAAAGCGUGGGGCAGCAAACAGGAUUAGAUACCCUGGUAGUCCAGCGCUGUAAACGAUGUCGAUUUGGAGGUUGUGCCCUUGAGGCGUGGCUUCCGGAGCUAACGCGUUAAAUCGACCGCCUGGGGGAGUACGGCCGCAAGGUUAAAACUUAAAUGAAUUGACGGGGUCAUAGCUG